Molecule: long non-coding RNA, 255 nt
Organism: Etheostoma cragini (Arkansas darter)
Lineage: Eukaryota; Metazoa; Chordata; Actinopteri; Perciformes; Percidae
Exons: 3
Source: RefSeq, a predicted model, not a curated record
CAGAUGUGCGGGGUGUUGUAGAGCUCGGAAAUAUAUCGAUAUUAUAUCAACAUCGUGAUGUGAGACUAGAUUUCGUCUUGGAUUUUGGAUAUCGUAACACCCUAAUAUGACAUAAGUGUCUGUUCCUGGCGUUAAAGGCUGCAUUACAGUAAAGUGAUGUCAUUUCCUGAUCUUACAAGACUGUUGUAGCGGUUCUAUUUUUCACCUUUACCCACUCAGUCAUUAUAUCCACAUUACUGAUGAUUAUUUAUCUAA